AUGUAGCAAUACAUCAGCGGCAGACGGGUGAGUAACGCGUGGGAACAUACCUUUUGGUUCGGAACAACCCAGGGAAACUUGGGCUAAUACCGGAUAAGCCCUUACGGGGAAAGAUUUAUCGCCGAAAGAUUGGCCCGCGUCUGAUUAGCUAGUUGGUGAGGUAACGGCUCACCAAGGCGACGAUCAGUAGCUGGUCUGAGAGGAUGAUCAGCCACAUUGGGACUGAGACACGGCCCAAACUCCUACGGGAGGCAGCAGUGGGGAAUAUUGGACAAUGGGCGCAAGCCUGAUCCAGCCAUGCCGCGUGAGUGAUGAAGGCCCUAGGGUUGUAAAGCUCUUUUGUGCGGGAAGAUAAUGACGGUACCGCAAGAAUAAGCCCCGGCUAACUUCGUGCCAGCAGCCGCGGUAAUACGAAGGGGGCUAGCGUUGCUCGGAAUCACUGGGCGUAAAGGGUGCGUAGGCGGGUCUUUAAGUCAGGGGUGAAAUCCUGGAGCUCAACUCCAGAACUGCCUUUGAUACUGAAGAUCUUGAGUUCGGGAGAGGUGAGUGGAACUGCGAGUGUAGAGGUGAAAUUCGUAGAUAUUCGCAAGAACACCAGUGGCGAAGGCGGCUCACUGGCCCGAUACUGACGCUGAGC
Molecule: ribosomal RNA, 637 nt
Filed under: Bradyrhizobium sp.
Lineage: Bacteria; Pseudomonadati; Pseudomonadota; Alphaproteobacteria; Hyphomicrobiales; Nitrobacteraceae
Description: bacterial SSU rRNA
Rfam family: Bacterial small subunit ribosomal RNA
Source: RNAcentral